UAAUAUAUUUUUUGAUACUAGCACUUAGUAUCAGAGAAUAUAUUAUUGAUAGAUUUCAAUGUUGACGUCUAUGUUAUAAAAUCUAUUAUAUCCAGAAUAAAAUAUAUCUAAAUUAAUUUUAGAAAAUUAUAACCGAGUAUACUGGUCUAUGGAGUGAAAUUUUGCAAAUUAGAGAAAUUAGGAAAUCCAAGUGGUUUUGUUUAUUUUAAAUACUUCUAAAUCUACUAUUUAGAUUAUUAGAAUGUGCCCUGCCCAUCAGAAGCCCACACUAUAGCCUCAAAUUUUAUUUUUAAUAUUCUAUCAUUUAAGCAUUGAUUAUCAAUUACCCUUCUCAUUAUAUUGAGUGUGAGGCAUGGUCGCCAAAUAAGAACAGAUAAAAACAGAAAAUAUUCUGCCACUGUUUUUCUUCCCAUGGCUUUAGCUAAUGACCUGCAUGGUAUUGAAUAAGUAGCUAACAACAUUUGGCCCUUAGGUCUCAGUGUUGUAAAAUGUGGGAUUUGGGCUGAAAUUUCUACGGAAGAGAAUGCUAAAAGAGCCAUUCCCAAUCCCGAAUAAAGAUGGCUUUGUGACACAACUGUCUUUUUGUUGUCUAAGUGCACUGAGUCCCACUUUAAAUUACCUUUCCUUAAAGUGUGAGUUGGCCAAAGCUCUCAAGCUGGGAAGGAGGCUGCUGGUAGAGUGCUUGAGUAGCAGGUACAACAUCCUGGGCUUGAUCCCCAGGCCUGGGGGGAUGGGUAGUAAGUUUCCAUUCUCAAUGUGAUUGGGGUUGAUUUGCUAUCCUGAAAUUAUUUUUUGCUAGUUACAUAGUUAUUUUGUAAAGUGAACAGGCAAGCUCACCUAAAUUAGAAUUGUAUGCCCACCUGUGAUCAAUUUUUCUGAAGCACAGCCCUUCUGUUACAGGACCUGGGUGAUGGAACACUGUCAUGCAUGUUGUGUUACGGCUGGUCGUUCUUUGUGUUUCUGUGUGAUCUGAAUCAGGAUGAAUGAAAUCGAGUGAAGGAGCACUGACUUUAGGUGCGCAUGCUCCCACCGAACGCUCUGCUCAGCCCUGAGUCUUGCUAGAUUGUCCUCCUGCCUCAGCAUCCAGGGGAGCUGGACGUACGUCAUAGGAGACUACCACUUCACCCUGCUGACAUGCUAACUGUACCUGGCUUUUAUUUAAAAGCUGGAGCAUCAUCCGGUGAGUUAGAACAGACUGUAGAGCUCACCUGUGGAGCUUUCAGAGGUGGGAAGCAUGGAAAUCCAGUGUGGGCAGAGCUGGAGUUAAUGAUGAAUGCCCGUUCUUCACAUGAAGCAAGCCACAAACCUCCACAUGAGCUCUGGGCAGAUCAGGCUGUGACAGAGACGCUUUCUGCCAAGAAAACAUAGGCCUACGUUUCCAAAUCUUGGUAUUCUGGUUUUGUGACACCAACUGGUUAUUCGACCUCAGUCAAGUUUCUUGCUGUCCUAAGCCUCAGUCGCUGGUACACUCAUCACUGUGAUGCCCAGGGAAGAUGACUUGGAAACCCAAGGACUUCCAUAAGAUCGUCCAACUUCUGACAAAACGGCUUUUUGUGAGGACAGGUAAUGUAGGCCCCCCGUAAAUACAACAGACCUGCAUGUCCCCUGGAAGGGAGGCUGUGGCGUUAGUGGGCAAGAACACCAGGAUGUACAAGGCCAUUCCAGGGCAUCUGGGAUGCAAGCUGAAUCUGGAGAAACUAUUGCCAUAUAUGCAGGGCAUGUGGGCUUCACCAAGGAGGACCUAACUGAGAUCAAGAGCUUGCUACUGGCCAAUCAGGUGCAUCUGGGGCUAAGACUAUUGCCUUGCGUGAAGUCACUGUGCCAAGCCAGAACACUGGCCUGGAGCCCAAGAAGACCUCCUUCUUCCAGGUUUUGAGCCUCACCACUGAACUCUUCAGAGGCACAUCUGACGUCCUGAUGAUGUGCAGAGAAUAAGGCUAUGGGUAAAACGGAGUCAGUGCAACCUCGUCACGAGAGAUGCUGAACGGUCUGCCCGCUUCUUUGGGCUGAUCGUCCAGCAGGUGUUUGGCAACAGAGGGCUUGAGAUCAUAGAGAAAACUGUAUUCUCAGUUUCUUUGAUGUGUGUAUCUGUCGGUCUGUCCGUCCAUACUACAUAGGCAAAGAGUACGUGUGGGUCCUGACUUUGCCUGUGGAGUCUGAGUCCACCUUCCCACUUACUGAAAAGCUCAAAGAUGUCCAUCGGCAUUUGUGGCUGCCACCACUGUGACAACUGGUGUCACUGCUGCCUUUGUUGCUGCUGCUGCUGCUCAGGCCCCAGCUAAGGUUGAAGCCAAGGAAGAGACAGAGGAAUCAGAUGAAAAUGUAGGUAGGAUUUAGAUUUGGUGUCUGUCUGAGUCCUCAAAACAACCCACUCUGCCAUUUUUAUUUAGGAAACAUGUAAACACCUCGCUUCCCUUUAAGAAAAAGAAAGGAAGAUGGAAAAAGUCAUCAGCUCAUGUACAGAGAAGCUGGCAAGUGAAUGCAAAUGAGGCAACUGUUGUGUAAAACCUAAAAUACACCCGUUGUGCAGAAAUCUUAAUCUUCAAUACUGUGUACGUGAGCCCGUCUUGACAGCCCAGUCUAUUUCAUUGUUUUUGGUUGAGUUGUUUUUUUGUCUGUUUGUUUGUUUUUGUUUUGUUUUGUUUUGUUUUUCGAGUUUGGUUGUUUUUUUUUGUGUACGAGUGCACACAUGUUGCUAUAUGCAUGCGGAUGUCAGAGGACAAUUUUGCUUCUCUCUUUCUACUAUGUGGCUCCCAGAGAUUGACCUCGGGCCUCCAGGCUUAUCAAAUGGGGCCUUUAACUUCUCUUGACAGCCCAUGACGGGUGUGCAUAGGAUGGGAUCAGACACCACGUACAAUGGAAUCAUUCAAAGUGUUUUCUAAAAUACUGAUUCCUAGGCUCUACCUCAACUAUGCUGAACUAGAACUUUCAACCUUUGGACUGUAGAAUGAAUCACCCCAGAGGAGUCUCUGCAUACACUGCGGCCCUAUAGAAUCUAUGCUUUGUGUACGGUGUCUUGGAGAGAUGAUUGAGUAAAACUCACACCCACGACACUGUUCAUCAAUUUCUCCAUUAGGUGAAAGGAAUCCAGAUAGGGACUAAUCUGGCCCUACCUUUAUUAUUCUGGAAACUCUCUGAGUCCUGGUACCUUCGCCCUUAAGAUGACACCCGCUUGAUGGGUGAGUUGAAUUAACUCAAUUCACUAAUGGAGUUUAAAGAUUCGAUUUAUGGAGAGCUCCUGUUCUGAUGUCUGACACAAACUGUAACUGGAGUGUGUGUCUGUUCCCUUCUCCCAUGCCUAGAAGAAGAGUUUUGUUUGCAUUCUCUUUGUUUCCUAUCCUUGCUGUUUAUACUUUGUGAAUAAACAUAAGCUAGUAAUGGAAGGAGAGCCUAA
This is a long non-coding RNA of Mus musculus (house mouse), 3394 nucleotides long. RefSeq annotates it as predicted gene 9618. The record is from RefSeq and is a predicted model, not a curated record. The transcript is spliced from 3 exons. NCBI's taxonomy places the organism in Eukaryota, Metazoa, Chordata, Mammalia, Rodentia, Muridae.